Molecule: long non-coding RNA, 506 nt
Organism: Populus nigra (black poplar)
Lineage: Eukaryota; Viridiplantae; Streptophyta; Magnoliopsida; Malpighiales; Salicaceae
Exons: 2
Source: RefSeq, a predicted model, not a curated record
GAACUUGUUGGUUUUAAACUGGCUGAAAUGGGCCAAUUUAGCUUUGACCAAGCAGUACCUCUCAUGGCUUCAAAGCAUGAUCUUCAUGGAUGGAUGUUGACAGUUGACGCCCCUUUUCUGUUGACUGCUAAAGACUAAAGAGCACUUCCCCUCUUGCAAUAAAAAAAUCAGGACAAGAAAUGGAUGCAAGAAUGCAAAUAGCACUUCCCCUACCAGGAACUGUAGCUGCUGAUGCCGCCGCCGCCGCCGCCUCUGCUGUAAACUUUUCUGAGCUUAGAGAGAAAUCGCUUAGAGAUUUGGAUGAGCAUGAAGAUGGACGGUUCGAGUCAUCUCUAAGUUCAAGGAAAAUUAAAGGAGAGCAAGAAGAAAGGCUGAAAAAGAAGACAAGAAUUGAUCACACAAGGAAAAGGAUCAAGCAGACAGUUUGGUACGAUGAUUACUUUUUAUUUUUUUUUCUAACCAUGUAUAAAAAAAACUGCUUGAAUAAUUAAAUAGCUUUUUAUUUA